GCGAGAGUGGCGGAAUUGGCAGACGCACCAGACUUAGGAUCUGGCGCCAUUGGCGUGAGGGUUCGACUCCCUCCUUUCGCA
RNAcentral lists this transfer RNA (81 nucleotides) under Fibrobacter sp. Its description in RNAcentral is "tRNA-Leu". It matches the Rfam family "tRNA". Rfam says of the family: Transfer RNA (tRNA) molecules are approximately 80 nucleotides in length. Their secondary structure includes four short double-helical elements and three loops (D, anti-codon, and T loops). Further hydrogen bonds mediate the characteristic L-shaped molecular structure. tRNAs have two regions of fundamental functional importance: the anti-codon, which is responsible for specific mRNA codon recognition, and the 3' end, to which the tRNAs corresponding amino acid is attached (by aminoacyl-tRNA synthetases). tRNAs cope with the degeneracy of the genetic code in two manners: having more than one tRNA (with a specific anti-codon) for a particular amino acid; and 'wobble' base-pairing, i.e. permitting non-standard base-pairing at the 3rd anti-codon position. Lineage: Bacteria; Pseudomonadati; Fibrobacterota; Fibrobacteria; Fibrobacterales; Fibrobacteraceae. The record is from RNAcentral.